RNAcentral lists this ribosomal RNA (374 nucleotides) under uncultured prokaryote. RNAcentral's name for it is "bacterial SSU rRNA". It matches the Rfam family "Bacterial small subunit ribosomal RNA", at positions 524 to 896 of the family's 1533-position model. The record is from RNAcentral.
UACAGAGGUGGCGAGCGUUGUUCGGAUUUACUGGGCGUAAAGGGUGCGUAGGCGGUUUCGUGUGUCGGGUGUGAAAUCUCACUGAUCAUCGGUGAAAUUGCACUCGAAACUGCGAGGCUAGAGUACAGGAGGGGAGAGUGGAAUUCUUGGUGUAGCGGUGAAAUGCGUAGAUAUCAAGAGGAACACCGGUGGCGAAGGCGGCUCUCUGGAAUGUUACUGACGCUGAGGCACGAAAGCUGGGGGAGCAAACAGGAUUAGAUACCCUGGUAGUCCCAGCUGUAAACGGUGUGCACUUGGUGUGGGUGGGUUUGUCCCCAUCCGUGUCGGAGCUAACGCGUUAAGUGCACCGCCUGGGGAGUACGGUCGCAAGGCUA